UUUGAAAUAGAGUGCAUUUUUAUAAACCUGUGGAUUGUUACUGGAACUAAAACCGAUAACCUUAGCUACUAAUGCAGUAUUUAUUUUUCACAUUUUAUCAAGCGUUGAGAGCAUGGUGUACUUUUGCCAGUUUAUUUCUGUGUGUCGCAGCUCGAACAGUCAAGAAAUAAAGGCCUGGAAAUGAUUCUGCAGGAGUCCGGAGUGUUUCUGCUUCAUAUUCAAAGGUUUUGUCUUCUCCAGAUGUUCACUGAUGGACUGGAGUGCUGUGGAUUAUUGUGAUGUUUUUAUCAGACUCUCAUUCUGACGGCACCCAUUCACUGCAGAGUAUAGAACGGUCACUUUAACACAAAGACACAUGGUUACAAACAUAAAAACUUUUAUUUGCAGGGACAGCAGAUACAAUAUCUGACUGAUAUUUGAUGUUGAUUAUAAAAGUAUUAAUGCACAUUGAUUUACACAUCUGUAAUGUUCUGUUGCCAUGCUUCAGUAAACGAAUCCUCAAC
Long non-coding RNA from Carassius auratus (goldfish), 503 nucleotides. RefSeq lists it as uncharacterized. NCBI's taxonomy places the organism in Eukaryota, Metazoa, Chordata, Actinopteri, Cypriniformes, Cyprinidae. The record is from RefSeq and is a predicted model, not a curated record. The transcript has 2 exons.